Pelobates cultripes (western spadefoot toad) is the source of this 386-nucleotide non-coding RNA. The record is from the annotation of a GenBank genome assembly. Lineage: Eukaryota; Metazoa; Chordata; Amphibia; Anura; Pelobatidae.
UUGGGUGGAACAAGUUAUUUAAUAACAUUACCGAUGCUUUUGAUCUGAUGGUCUAAAUAUUCAAUGAGGAUUCAGCACACUUUCCAUACAUAGUUUCCUUAACAUUAAAUACUGACAGUCUGAUAUGGAGGUUCUUCGGAUGUAUCGGAUGACCUUGGAUACAGUGAAACGAUUCAAUAAGGGAUCCAACAGGCAAUGAAUGGGUUUCCUCAUCUCGUGGCUUCGGAAAUAAAGUGAAAAUCCUUGAUAUUCACUGAGCCAGCACAAUUUGGGAGCUUUAUCCUCAGCUAUUAUUCUGUUUUAUGACGUCUCCUCUAGCCUCUCAAUGGCUCGCUUUCUGAGCAGCUGUCAUUAACCUCCAUAUUUAUGGUUCCCACAAAGGAUAC